UGGGGAAUAUUGCACAAUGGGCGAAAGCCUGAUGCAGCAACGCCGCGUGAGUGAUGAAGGUCUUCGGAUUUGUAAAGCUCUGUCUUUUGGGACGAUAAUGACGGUACCAAAGGAGGAAGCCACGGCUAACUACGUGCCAGCAGCCGCGGUAAUACGUAGGUGGCGAGCGUUGUCCGGAUUUACUGGGCGUAAAGGGUGCGUAGGCGGAUGUUUAAGUGAGAUGUGAAAUACCCGGGCUUAACUUGGGUGCUGCAUUUCAAACUGGAUAUCUAGAGUGCAGGAGAGGAGAAUGGAAUUCCUAGUGUAGCGGUGAAAUGCGUAGAGAUUAGGAAGAACACCAGUGGCGAAGGCGAUUCUCUGGACUGUAACUG
Molecule: ribosomal RNA, 371 nt
Filed under: uncultured bacterium
Lineage: Bacteria
Description: partial 16S ribosomal RNA
Rfam family: Bacterial small subunit ribosomal RNA
Source: RNAcentral